This 406-nucleotide ribosomal RNA is filed under the name uncultured bacterium. RNAcentral's name for it is "partial 16S ribosomal RNA". It matches the Rfam family "Bacterial small subunit ribosomal RNA", at positions 28 to 526 of the family's 1533-position model. The record is from RNAcentral.
GAUGAACGCUAGCUACAGGCCUAACACAUGCAAGUCGAGGGACCGGCGCACGGGUGAGUAACACGUAUCCAACCUGCCCUUUACUCGGGGAUAGCCUUUCGAAAGAAAGAUUAAUACUCGAUAUAAAGGAUGGGGAUGCGUUCCAUUAGGUUGUUGGUGAGGUAACGGCCCACCAAGCCUUCGAUGGAUAGGGGUUCGGAGAGGAAGGUACCCCACAUUGGAACUGAGGCACGGUCUAAACUCCUACGGGGGGCAGGAGUGAGGAAGAUAGGUGAAUGGGGCUUAACGUGAACCAGCCAAGUAGCGUGAAGGAGGAAGGCGUCUGGGUCGUAAGUUUCUAGUAUAUAAGAAUAGGUAUUAAAUGAGUAAGGAUCGGCUAACUCCGUGCCAGCCGCCGCGGUAAUAC